RNAcentral lists this ribosomal RNA (379 nucleotides) under uncultured organism. RNAcentral's name for it is "bacterial LSU rRNA". It matches the Rfam family "Bacterial large subunit ribosomal RNA", at positions 2110 to 2485 of the family's 2925-position model. The record is from RNAcentral.
CGCGUAACUGAAAUGAUUGGACUUUAUUUGCGCAGUAUAGGUGGGAGGCGUUGAGAAUAUUCUUGCGGGAAUAUUGGAGUCAUCAGUGAGAUACCACUCUUGUAAUGUUAGAUUUCUAACUUUGUAUCAUUAUCUGGUCAAAGGACAGUUUCAGGCGGGCAGUUUGACUGGGGCGGUCGCCUCCUAAACGGUAACGGAGGCGCACAAAGGUUUCCUCUGAACGGGUAGAAAUCGUAUCUAGAGUGUAAAGGCAUAAGGAAGCUUGACUGUGAGACCUACAAGUCGAGCAGGGACGAAAGUCGGUCUUAGUGAUCUGACGGUGCUGAGUGGAAAGGCCGUCACUCAACGGAUAAAAGUUACUCUAGGGAUAACAGGCUGA